CUGUAUGCACAGGCAGUCAGACUCACAAAAGUGGUCUUUUUUUCCUUCAAGGAAUGCAGAAGUGCUGAUGGUUCUCAUCUACAGCACCCAUCCCAAAGCUUCCACCAGCGGUGCUCACCUCGCCCAGACAGCGGAGGUGGCACAAUGCAGCCAUCAGAAAAUCAGCAGAAAUGAGCUGAUGCCGAUUUGAGACCACUGGACACACCUAAAUUUAUCUGUAGUUGAUGUUGCAAACCAAAACCAAAGCCCUGACAUCUUCACAGCAGUCUGACGAUGAGAGAACUGAUACAGCGCAGGCAUCUCUGCACAACCAUAGCUAAGCAGUCAGACUGCAUGUGUGGGCAAGACACCUGCAACAACCUGGAGAGGACAGCAAUUCAGAAGUUCUACAGACUGGAAAUAAAUAAAACAAAUCCUAAAUUAC
Molecule: long non-coding RNA, 424 nt
Filed under: Gallus gallus (chicken)
Lineage: Eukaryota; Metazoa; Chordata; Aves; Galliformes; Phasianidae
Description: lncRNA (ENSGALG00010017091.1)
Source: RNAcentral